CCUACGGGGGGCAGCAGUGAGGAAUAUUGGUCAAUGGCCGAGAGGCUGAACCAGCCAAGUCGCGUUAGGGAAGACGGCCCUACGGGUUGUAAACCUCUUUUGUCGGGGAGCAACGCGAGUCACGUGUGACUCAUUGAGAGUACCCGACGAAAAAGCAUCGGCUAACUCCGUGCCAGCAGCCGCGGUAAUACGGACGAUGCGAGCGUUAUCCGGAUUUCUUGGGUUUAAAGGGUGCGCAGGCGGAGGUGCAAGUCAGCGGUCAAAUUGCGGGGCUCAACCCCGUACUGCCGUUGAAACUGCAUCCUUUGAGUGCGCGAGAAGUAUGCGGAAUGCGUGGUGUAGCGGUGAAAUGCAUAGAUAUCACGCAGAACUCCGAUUGCGAAGGCAGCAUACCGGCGCGCAACUGACGCUCAUGCACGAAAGCGUGGGUAUCGAACAGGAUUAGAUACCCCUGUAGUC
Molecule: ribosomal RNA, 459 nt
Filed under: uncultured bacterium
Lineage: Bacteria
Description: partial 16S ribosomal RNA
Rfam family: Bacterial small subunit ribosomal RNA
Source: RNAcentral